RNAcentral lists this ribosomal RNA (380 nucleotides) under Puniceicoccales bacterium. Its description in RNAcentral is "bacterial SSU rRNA". It matches the Rfam family "Bacterial small subunit ribosomal RNA", at positions 1 to 381 of the family's 1533-position model. Lineage: Bacteria; Pseudomonadati; Verrucomicrobiota; Opitutia; Puniceicoccales. The record is from RNAcentral.
UUUAUGGAGAGUUUGAUCCUAGCUCAGAGCGAACGCUGGCGGCGUAGUUUAGACAUGCAAGUCGAACGGUAGACUCCUUCGGGAGUUUAGAGUGGCGAACGGGUGCGUAAUACGCGAACAACUUACCCCUUAGUUUGGAAUAGCCCGCCGAAAGGUGGAUUAAUGCCGGAUGUGAUUUGGAAUCGCAUGAUUCCGAUAUUAAAGCUUGUAAUGGCGCUAGGGGAGAGGUUCACGGCCUAUCAGCUUGUUGGCGGGGUAACGGCCCACCAAGGCUAAGACGGGUAGCUGGUCUGAGAGGAUGAUCAGCCACACUGGGACUGAGACACGGCCCAGACACCUACGGGUGGCAGCAGUUUCGAAUUAUUCACAAUGGACGCAAG